Molecule: ribosomal RNA, 591 nt
Filed under: uncultured bacterium
Lineage: Bacteria
Description: partial 16S ribosomal RNA
Rfam family: Bacterial small subunit ribosomal RNA
Source: RNAcentral
UGGGGAAUUUUGGACAAUGGGCGAAAGCCUGAUCCAGCAAUGCCGCGUGUGUGAAGAAGGCCUUCGGGUUGUAAAGCACUUUUGUCCGGAAAGAAAUCCUUGGCUCUAAUACAGUCGGGGGAUGACGGUACCGGAAGAAUAAGCACCGGCUAACUACGUGCCAGCAGCCGCGGUAAUACGUAGGGUGCAAGCGUUAAUCGGAAUUACUGGGCGUAAAGCGUGCGCAGGCGGUUUGCUAAGACCGAUGUGAAAUCCCCGGGCUCAACCUGGGAACUGCAUUGGUGACUGGCAGGCUAGAGUAUGGCAGAGGGGGGUAGAAUUCCACGUGUAGCAGUGAAAUGCGUAGAGAUGUGGAGGAAUACCGAUGGCGAAGGCAGCCCCCUGGGGCCAAAUACUGACGCUCAUGCACGAAAAGCGUGGGGGAGCAAAACAGGAUUAGAUACCCUGGUAGUCCACGCCCUAAAACGAUGUCAACUAGUUGUUGGGGAUUCAUUUCCUUAGUAACGUAGCUAACGCGUGAAGUUGACCGCCUGGGGAGUACGGUCGCAAGAUUAAAACUCAAAGGAAUUGACGGGGUCAUAGCUGUUUCCU